Homo sapiens (human) is the source of this 107-nucleotide small nuclear RNA. The record is from Ensembl. NCBI's taxonomy places the organism in Eukaryota, Metazoa, Chordata, Mammalia, Primates, Hominidae.
GUGCUUGCUUCAGCAGCACAUACAUUAAAAUUGGAACAAUAUGGAGAAGAUUAGCCUGGCCCCUGUGCAAAGAUGACCUGCAAAUUUUUGAAGUGUUCUAUAUUUUU